This 776-nucleotide ribosomal RNA is filed under the name uncultured Neocallimastigales. RNAcentral describes it as "partial large subunit ribosomal RNA". It matches the Rfam family "Eukaryotic large subunit ribosomal RNA", at positions 20 to 616 of the family's 3401-position model. The record is from RNAcentral. Lineage: Eukaryota; Fungi; Neocallimastigomycota; Neocallimastigomycetes; Neocallimastigales.
UACUAGAGUAGCACUCGCAUAUCAAUAAGCGGAGGAAAAGAAACUAACAAGGAUUCCCUUAGUAACGGCGAGUGAAGCGGGAAGAGCUCAAAUUUGAAAUCUUCAAGGUUCUACCUUGACGAAUUGUAGUUUAAAGAAGUGUUUUCUGUUAGAUGAGUAGCAAAAGUUCCUUGGAAUGGGACAUCAUAGAGGGUGAGAAUCCCGUAUUUGGUUAUUCAUUCUAGCUUUGUGAUACACUUUCAAAGAGUCGGAUUGUUUGGGAAUGCAGGUCCAAAAUGGGUGGUAAAUUUCAUCUAAAGCUAAAUAUUGGCGAGAGACCGAUAGCGAACAAGUACCGUGAGGGAAAGAUGAAAAGAACUUUGAAAAGAGAGUUAAACAGUACGUGAAAUUGUCAAAAGGGAAGCGUUUGACACCAGUGUUGUUUUUCCGAAAAUCAAUUACGAAUGGCUUGAUUUUGUGUUGUAUUGACCUUAUCAGCUUUCUGCACUUUUUUUCGAGUCUUUCUUAAUGCACUUUUCGGUUAACAAGUCAACAUCAAUUUCUUUUGUUGUAAAAGAGUAUUCGGAAGGUGGCUUUCUUUUCGGAGAAAGUGUUUAUAGCCCUAUACUUCUACAAUCGGAGAGAUUGAGGUCUGCAGCGUAGAUCCUUCGGGGUUAGAUACAUUUGUGCUAAGUUGUAGCUUUUCAUAGACAACUUGUUGACUAUGUUUAGUCAUGCGGCUUACUCGCUUAUGCUAUUUUACCUACGCUUAGGAUGUUGAGCGCAUGUCUCUCUCU